Molecule: ribosomal RNA, 309 nt
Filed under: Glaesserella parasuis
Lineage: Bacteria; Pseudomonadati; Pseudomonadota; Gammaproteobacteria; Pasteurellales; Pasteurellaceae
Description: partial 23S ribosomal RNA
Rfam family: Bacterial large subunit ribosomal RNA
Source: RNAcentral
GUUGUAUGGUUAAGUGACUAAGCGUACACGGUGGAUGCCUAGGCAAUCAGAGGCGAAGAAGGACGUGCUAAUCUGCGAAAAGCUUGGAUGAGUUGAUAAGAAGCGUUUAAUCCAAGAUAUCCGAAUGGGGAAACCCAGUAGAUGAAGAAUCUACUAUCAAUAGAUGAAUACAUAGUCUGUUGAGGCAAACCGGGAGAACUGAAACAUCUAAGUACCCCGAGGAAAAGAAAUCAACCGAGAUUUUGUCAGUAGCGGCGAGCGAAAGCGAAAGAGCCAGCAAGUGAUAGCAGCAAAGACAGAAGAAUUGGC